RNAcentral lists this transfer RNA (75 nucleotides) under Salmonella enterica subsp. enterica serovar Montevideo str. OH_2009072675. RNAcentral's name for it is "tRNA-OTHER". It matches the Rfam family "tRNA". Rfam says of the family: Transfer RNA (tRNA) molecules are approximately 80 nucleotides in length. Their secondary structure includes four short double-helical elements and three loops (D, anti-codon, and T loops). The record is from RNAcentral. RNAcentral also lists the same sequence under 1 other name. Lineage: Bacteria; Pseudomonadati; Pseudomonadota; Gammaproteobacteria; Enterobacterales; Enterobacteriaceae.
GGGGUUCCCGAGCGGCCAAAGGGAGCAGACUGUAAAUCUGCCGUCAUCGACUUCGAAGGUUCGAAUCCUUCCCCC